This 882-nucleotide ribosomal RNA is filed under the name uncultured bacterium. Its description in RNAcentral is "bacterial SSU rRNA". It matches the Rfam family "Bacterial small subunit ribosomal RNA", at positions 487 to 1381 of the family's 1533-position model. The record is from RNAcentral.
UCAGCCUCGGCUAACUACGUGCCAGCAGCCGCGGUAAGACGUAGGAGGCGAGCGUUGUCCGGAGUGACUGGGCGUAAAGGGCGCGCAGGCGGCGCCGCGCGCCCCGGGGUGAAAGGCCCCGGCUCAACCGGGGGACGGCCCGGGGGACGGCGGCGCUGGAGGGCGGCAGAGGCCGGUGGAAUUCCCGGUGUAGUGGUGAAAUGCGUAGAGAUCGGGAGGAACACCCGUGGCGAAGGCGGCCGGCUGGGCCGACCCUGACGCUGAGGCGCGAAGGCCCGGGGAGCGAACGGGAUUAGAUACCCCGGUAGUCCGGGCAGUAAACGAUGUCGACUGGCCGUGGGCUGGCUUGACCCGGUCCGCGGCGGAGCUAACGCGGGAAGUCGACCGCCUGGGGAGUACGGCCGCAAGGCUAAAACUCAAAGGAAUUGACGGGGGCCCGCACAAGCAGCGGAGCGUGCGGUUUAAUUCGACGCAACGCGCAGAACCUUACCAGGCCUGGACGGGGGACUGCGGACCCGUGAAAGCGGGUGGCCUUCGAGGGGGUCCCUCAGGUGCUGCAUGGCUGUCGUCAGCUCGUGCCGCGAGGUGUUGGGUUAAGUCCCGCAACGAGCGCAACCCCCGCGGCCCGUUAGAGGGUCACAGGCCGGACUGCCGGUUGCAACCCGGAGGAAGGCGGGGAUGACGUCAAGCCCGCAUGGCCCUGACGGCCUGGGCGACACGCACGCUACAAUGGCCGGGACAAUGGGUGGCCAAGCCGCAAGGCGGCGCCAAUCCCCCAAACCCGGCCCCAGUUCGGAUCGGGGGCUGCAACUCGCCCCCGUGAAGGCGGAGUUGCUAGUAACCGCGGGUCAGCCAUACCGCGGUGAAUCUGUUCCCGGGCCU